GACGAACGCUGGCGGCGUGCUUAACACAUGCAAGUCGAACGGAAAGGCCCUGCUUUUGUGGGGUGCUCGAGUGGCGAACGGGUGAGUAACACGUGAGUAACCUGCCCUUGACUUUGGGUUAACUUCAGGAAACUGGGGCUAAUACCGGAUAGGAGCUCCUGCUGCAUGGUGGGGGUUGGAAAGUUUCGGCGGUUGGGGAUGGACUCGCGGCUUAUCAGCUUGUUGGUGGGGUAGUGGCAUACCAAGGAUUUGACGGGUAGCCGGCCUGCGAGGGUGACCGGCCACAUUGGGACUGAGAUACGGCCCAGACUCCUACGGGAGGCAGCAGUGGGGAAUAGUGCACAAUGGGCGGAAGCCUGAUGCAGCAACGCCGCGUGCGGGAUGACGGCCUGCGGGUUGUAAACCGCUUUCGCCUGUGACGAAGCGUGAGUGACGGUAAUGGGUAAAGAAGCACCGGCUAACUACGUG
Molecule: ribosomal RNA, 468 nt
Filed under: uncultured bacterium
Lineage: Bacteria
Description: partial 16S ribosomal RNA
Rfam family: Bacterial small subunit ribosomal RNA
Source: RNAcentral